CAAAAGCUUAGCCCCUACGACUACCGACGUCAUUAUCGUAUAAAGAUUGGAAGUCACAUAUCAUCAUCACCCCCUUGCGGGAGCUUAAGUUGUAAUUAAAUUUAAUUUUUUAGUUUGAGAUUAGAGCUUAAUAGUUUAAGUUUUAAUUUACAGAGUUUAUUUUUUUAACAAUAUCCUAAGUGUGUCACUGCGUUAUAAAACGCGGCAUAAACCAUUUCCAUUCGGUGAAGCGGUGGGGAAUCAGCUGUGACCAAUCGCGUGCGACUAGAGAGAGAUAGCAUGUAGUCCGAUAUGUCUGUCUCUCUCUCUACAACCUCGUCUACACUUUCGGCCUACGGAAAGCUGCCUCCAGUAGUAUAUGCUCUAAGGAUACGGCUAUCACGUACUCCUUUUCUCCAACGAGUAUACGAUGCGUUGCUGUUAGGGACUUUUUACACUCAAGAUAUUAACGACUGUGAUGUGAUUGUGUGCCCAUUACCGAUCGUGAAUGAAUCAAAACUUAAUUUAAAAAAUUCUCCGAACAAACUCCGAUUUUAUUUGCCUUAAAACUUGAAUAAUGAAGUAUAGAUGAGUGACGAACUAUGUUUACGUUCCGGACAUCUGUCAUACGUAUAAACGCUACAUUCACACGGAACAAUCUCAUCACAGUUGAAACUGACCUUUAGUGUCAAUAAUUUUUACUGAGUUGCAAUGUUCGAUGCCAAUGAUACAAGUGCCGUCAAAAAAAAAAAAAAAACGCGAGCAAGUGUCGAAGGUUAGGCGUUUUGCAAUUUGCAAAUUCUUCGUUACUUUCGGUGGCUGGACCUGAAGGCGGAACAACCGGAACAACUCGUUGCUUAACUCUGAAUCAUCCACGCAGGUCAAUGAGAGCAAGCUUCAGGGCAAGAAAAUUAAACGCGAAUCGGUGGGUUCGACGAACGUGCGUUUUCAAAAAGAAAAAUCAAUGUUCAACGUUCAUUUGCUCCCUUGCUCCUAACAUAAGAGUUAUAUAAUAGAUAUAAAUUAUUUCAGCUGCGCGACAAAAAUAUACUUGUUUGUAAAGCGUAUAAUAUUUCAUAUUUUAAGAUAUGUGUACGAAAUAUUGUAUGAUGUUCCCAUAUUUUAUCAUAUGAAAAAUAAUGUAAUCAUUUGAGUACCUUCUUUUGCAGACAAAAAAGCUUCUACUCUUUUCGCUUCAAUGUUCCACGUCGUUCAAUUUGUGGAGUGCUCCGCAACUGUCAUCGUCCCAGGAAAUUGGCUGAGUUGUGACGGAAAAAAUUGCGUUUGGCCUCAGGAAAGUUCUGAAUAUUCUAAACAGCAUCAUAUAUUGGCCAGGAGUACGCCUUCAGAAAACUGGAUGACGCGAGAAGUAGCGUAAUUGCGUCUGUGGAAUCUUACGACGAAGCUGUUUCGAAGCAGGUGGAAGAAACAAAAUCUAAUAAACGCACAGCUUCUGCUGCAAAUCUUGAUGUUGAUAAUAGGACAAAAAUUAUAAAAAAUUCUACACCGAAAAUCCUAUCUACAAAAAAUGUACACUUCGAUUUAAAAUUAUUAAAUAACAAACCGUUUUUAAAUAAAAACGAAGGGAAAACACCGAUAGUAGGAAUCGAAAAUCCUGAAGGAAAAGAAAAACCUGCUGGUCCGAGCAAGCGAUCGAAAAAAUCUGUAGGAACAAGUGAUAAUCUUCAGAUGAAUUCGUUAAGUUCCAAGAAUCUUAUAGCACAAAAACAAUUGUCACUGCAAGAAAUAAAAAAUUUAGAUGCAGAUGAUGAUGCAAGUUGUUUAUGUUGCUUGUACUUAACAUCUAUUUGUAUACACGAAGGAAAGUAAUUACAAAUAUCGAUAUAAUCAACAUUCUUAUUUACUUGUACGCAUUUCAGCAAUAUUGCACGAAGUCUUGCGGAAUCAAGCAGAAGAAAAGCUGCAAAAUGAAAGUCGAUAUUUGUCUGCAACGAGUACUGGUACUCGUAGAUAUUGCAAUGACAAUUCUGCAGUUGCCGCUCGCUUUCCAAUUAAUUCGCUCAGACUUCGUAAAAUUGAACGAUGAUCUUCGAGAUGCCAAUUAUGCCAAUCAAGUCGAGGCAGGAAAAUCACCAAGCAUGAGACAACUAGAGAAAUCUUGGGAAAAAUACUCACAGAUAAAGUUGCCAUUAAAUAUAAUUUUUGUGGAACGAUGCGCAAAAACAGAAAGUACCCUUUCAAAAUCUUGCACAUAUGGGACUUGAUAUUUAAUGAAGUUGUGGACGUUUCCUACAAAUCUAAUGAAGCCGAUGACACCUGCAAAAUAUGGUUGAAACAAGAAAAAAAAGAAUGGAUUCAGCUGCAUCUCGUGCAAAGAAAAUGGAAAAUAUUGCUCAUUCACACGAUAAUUCUCAAGAUACGGAAGAAGAAGAUGAAAAUGACGCUAAUGCUGACAACCAGGAAAUAAACAACAAGGAAAAUGAAAGUCAAGAAAGCGACAAGGAAAGUGAUGGCGAAUAAGAUUUUUAUUAUUUUAUGUAUUUAGACUAGCUUUUAAAUUUGAAACUCAGAUUCUACUUACUUUCAUAAGUAGAUACAUCGCAAAAUUUGAAUUAAAGUUGUAUCAGAACCACUAUAUAUUGAACUGUAUCAUCGCAAAAUGAAUACUAAUAUGCCUAAGUAUUUUCAUGUGUACCUAUAUAUUAUCUACGUUUAUUUUUUUAAUAAAUGAAAAUUUUACUUA
Nasonia vitripennis (jewel wasp) is the source of this 2683-nucleotide RNA transcript. RefSeq lists it as uncharacterized. NCBI's taxonomy places the organism in Eukaryota, Metazoa, Arthropoda, Insecta, Hymenoptera, Pteromalidae. The record is from RefSeq and is a predicted model, not a curated record. The transcript is spliced from 4 exons.